RNAcentral lists this ribosomal RNA (492 nucleotides) under uncultured bacterium. Its description in RNAcentral is "partial 16S ribosomal RNA". It matches the Rfam family "Bacterial small subunit ribosomal RNA", at positions 29 to 506 of the family's 1533-position model. The record is from RNAcentral.
AGUGAACGCUGGCGGUAGGCCUAACACAUGCAAGUCGAACGGCAGCACAGUAAGAGCUUGCUCUUACGGGUGGCGAGUGGCGGACGGGUGAGGAAUACAUCGGAAUCUACUUUUUCGUGGGGGAUAACGUAGGGAAACUUACGCUAAUACCGCAUACGACCUACGGGUGAAAGCAGGGGAUCUUCGGACCUUGCGCGAUUGAAUGAGACGGAGUCGGGUUAGAUAGGUGGUGGGGUAAAGGCCCACCAAGGCGAGGCUACGGAGCCGGUCUGAGGAGAUGGUCCGGCACACCUGGAACGGAGACACGGUCCAGCUCCCUACGGGAGGCAGCAGUGGGGAAUAUUGGACAAUGGGCGCAAGCUUGAUCCAGCCAUACGGCGUGGGUGAAGAAGUCCUUCGGGUUGUAAAGUCCUUUUGUUGGGAAAGACAAGCGGCAGGUUAACUCCCCGCUGUUCUGACGGUACCAAAAGAAUAAGCACCGCCUAACUUCGU